AUGGACCAAUCCAUCCCUUUUUCCCGUGCAUAUGCAUCGGACUCGGAUGACGAUGGUCCCGAUGAAGAAGUUGAUGAGGAGGGGUUCACGCCGAAGGAGGCCCAAGCAUUCAAGAAGGUAUUCGGGCGGGAUCACAAGACACCAUUGUUCAAGGAUCUUAGUCUCGCGGAUGAAGCCGUUGUGGAUGGUGGCAAAUGCAUUUCUCUUGGAGCUAGGCCAAGUUCUCAC
RNAcentral lists this ribosomal RNA (228 nucleotides) under Triticum aestivum (bread wheat). Its description in RNAcentral is "partial small subunit ribosomal RNA". Lineage: Eukaryota; Viridiplantae; Streptophyta; Magnoliopsida; Poales; Poaceae. The record is from RNAcentral.